GAUGAAGAACGCAGCGAAAUGCGAUAAGUAGUGUGAAUUGCAGAAUUCAGUGAAUCAUCGAAUCUUUGAACGCACAUUGCGGCCAUAGGUAUUCCUUUGGCCAUGCCUGUUCGAGCGUCAUUUACACCCUCAAGCCUAGCUUGGUGUUGGGCGCCUGUCCCGCCGUUUUCGCGCGCGGACUCGCCUCAAAGUCAUUGGCGGCGGUCGUGCCGGCCCCCUCGCGCAGCACAUUUGCGCUUCUCGGAGGCCCGGCGGAUCCGCGCUCCAGCAAGACCUUUCACGACUUGACCUCGGAUCAGGUAGGGAUACCCGCUGAACUUAAGAAUAUCAAUAAGCGGAGGA
This 342-nucleotide unclassified non-coding RNA is filed under the name soil metagenome. Its description in RNAcentral is "partial contains 5.8S ribosomal RNA, internal transcribed spacer 2, and large subunit ribosomal RNA". The stretch from base 1 to 120 matches the Rfam family "5.8S ribosomal RNA", at positions 35 to 154 of the family's 154-position model. The record is from RNAcentral.